UACGUAGGGUGCAAGCGUUGUCCGGAAUUAUUGGGCGUAAAGAGCUCGUAGGCGGUUUGUUGCGUCGGCUGUGAAAUCCCGAGGCUCAACCUCGGGUCUGCAGUCGAUACGAGCAAACUAGAGUGUUGCAGGGGAGCGUGGAAUUCCUGGUGUAGCGGUGAAAUGCGCAGAUAUCAGGAGGAACACCAGCGGCGAAGGCGGCGCUCUGGGCCGGUACUGACACUGAGGAGCGAAAGCGUGGGUAGCAAACAGG
Molecule: ribosomal RNA, 253 nt
Filed under: uncultured bacterium
Lineage: Bacteria
Description: partial 16S ribosomal RNA
Rfam family: Bacterial small subunit ribosomal RNA
Source: RNAcentral